UCCUUGGUAGUCUAGUGGUUAAGAUUCAGCGCUCUCACCUCUGUUGUCUGGGAUCAAUUUCCAGUUAAAGAA
Ataeniobius toweri is the source of this 72-nucleotide non-coding RNA. NCBI's taxonomy places the organism in Eukaryota, Metazoa, Chordata, Actinopteri, Cyprinodontiformes, Goodeidae. The record is from the annotation of a GenBank genome assembly.